This 429-nucleotide ribosomal RNA is filed under the name Chloroflexota bacterium. RNAcentral's name for it is "Chloroflexi bacterium partial 16S ribosomal RNA". It matches the Rfam family "Bacterial small subunit ribosomal RNA", at positions 355 to 776 of the family's 1533-position model. The record is from RNAcentral. Lineage: Bacteria; Bacillati; Chloroflexota.
UGGGGAAUAUUGCACAAUGGGCGCAAGCCUGAUGCAGCCAUGCCGCGUGUAUGAAGAAGGCCUUCGGGUUGUAAAGUACUUUCAGUCGCGAGGAAGGUGUCAAGGUUAAUAACCUUGGCAAUUGACGUUACCGACAGAAGAAGCACCGGCUAACUCCGUGCCAGCAGCCGCGGUAAUACGGAGGGUGCAAGCGUUAAUCGGAAUUACUGGGCGUAAAGCGCACGCAGGCGGUUGAUUGAGUCAGAUGUGAAAUCCCCGGGCUUAACCCGGGAAUUGCAUCUGAUACUGGUCAGCUAGAGUCUUGUAGAGGGGGGUAGAAUUCCAUGUGUAGCGGUGAAAUGCGUAGAGAUGUGGAGGAAUACCGGUGGCGAAGGCGGCCCCCUGGACAAAGACUGACGCUCAGGUGCGAAAGCGUGGGGAGCAAACAGG